Molecule: ribosomal RNA, 272 nt
Filed under: uncultured bacterium
Lineage: Bacteria
Description: partial 16S ribosomal RNA
Rfam family: Bacterial small subunit ribosomal RNA
Source: RNAcentral
UACGUAGGGCGCAAGCGUUGUCCGGAAUUAUUGGGCGUAAAGAGCUCGUAGGCGGUUUGUCGCGUCUGCUGUGAAACGCCCGGGGCUCAACCCCGGGUCGUGCAGUGGGUACGGGCGAGACUAGAGUGCAGUAGGGAGACUGAAUUCCUGGUGUAGCGGUGAAAUGCGCAGAUAUCAGGAGGAACACCGAUGGCGAAGGCAGGUCUCUGGGCUGUUACUGACGCUGAGGAGCGAAAGCAUGGGGAGCGAACAGGAUUAGAAACCCUGGUAGU